Long non-coding RNA from Dromaius novaehollandiae (emu), 129 nucleotides. RefSeq lists it as uncharacterized. The record is from RefSeq and is a predicted model, not a curated record. The transcript is spliced from 2 exons. Lineage: Eukaryota; Metazoa; Chordata; Aves; Casuariiformes; Dromaiidae.
CCCCCUCUCCCCCCUUCCCCCCCCCCAGGUGGAGCCCCCUGCCCCUCCCCCGCCGCGCCCUGACCCCGCCCGGUGGGCCCAGGCGUCCGGGCCCCUCCCCCGCUGCCAAAUAAAGAGCCAUGGAGCUUU